CCUACGGGCGGCAGCAGUAGGGAAUAUUGCUCAAUGGGGGAAACCCUGAAGCAGCAACGCCGCGUGAAGGAUGAAGGUUUUCGGAUCGUAAACUCCUUUUGUUAGAGAAGAUAAUGACGAUAUCUAACGAAUAAGCACCUGCUAACUCCGUUCCAGCAGCCGCGGGAAUACGGAGGGGGCAAGCGUUACUCGGAAUCACUGGGCGUAAAGAGCUCGUAGGCGGGAUAGCAAGUCAGGUGUGAAAUCCUAUUGUUUAACCAUAGGAAUGCAUUUGAAACUGUUAUUCUAGAGUAUUAGAGAGGUAGGCAGAAUUCCUGGUGUAGGGGUGAAAUGCGUAGAGAUCAAGAGGAAUACCGAUAGCGAAGGCGGCCUGCUGGAAGGAAACUGACGCUGAUGAGCGAAAGCGUGGGGAGCAAACAGGAUUAGAUACCCUUGUAGUC
This 440-nucleotide ribosomal RNA is filed under the name uncultured bacterium. RNAcentral describes it as "partial 16S ribosomal RNA". It matches the Rfam family "Bacterial small subunit ribosomal RNA", at positions 338 to 795 of the family's 1533-position model. The record is from RNAcentral.